RNAcentral lists this ribosomal RNA (459 nucleotides) under uncultured Weissella sp. RNAcentral's name for it is "partial 16S ribosomal RNA". It matches the Rfam family "Bacterial small subunit ribosomal RNA", at positions 341 to 792 of the family's 1533-position model. Lineage: Bacteria; Bacillati; Bacillota; Bacilli; Lactobacillales; Lactobacillaceae. The record is from RNAcentral.
ACGGAAGGCAGCAGUAGGGAAUCUUCCACAAUGGGCGAAAGCCUGAUGGAGCAACGCCGCGUGUGUGAUGAAGGGUUUCGGCUCGUAAAACACUGUUGUAAGAGAAGAAUGACAUUGAGAGUAACUGUUCAAUGUGUGACGGUAUCUUACCAGAAAGGAACGGCUAAAUACGUGCCAGCAGCCGCGGUAAUACGUAUGUUCCAAGCGUUAUCCGGAUUUAUUGGGCGUAAAGCGAGCGCAGACGGUUAUUUAAGUCUGAAGUGAAAGCCCUCAGCUCAACUGAGGAAUUGCUUUGGAAACUGGAUGACUUGAGUGCAGUAGAGGAAAGUGGAACUCCAUGUGUAGCGGUGAAAUGCGUAGAUAUAUGGAAGAACACCAAUGGCGAAGGCAGCUAACUGGCCUGAAACUGACGCUGAGGCACGAAAGUGUGGGGAGCAAACAGGAUUAGAUACCCUGGUA